AAGUACUCUAGGAGUCAGAAUUAACUUCAGCUGCAAUUAUCAGGGGUAAGAAUAUUAAAAAUAAUAGUAACUGAAACAAAGUUAUCUAAGUUACAUAUUUAUCUAAUAUAUCUGGAAACAGGCUGGUGGCCUGUAUCUGGUGGCUCUAAAAUCAUCAUGCCACAGCUAUUUAUAGCUGUCCACUUCACCAUUCUUAGGGUGUGGCCCUCAUUCUCAUGGUCCAAGAUAGCUGCCAGGGCUCCAGCUUUAUUUCAUAUUUCAGGUAGCAGAUUGGAGGAAGGGAACAAGAAGGGAGCAAAGGGCACAUGACAGCUGUCUUUCGAGUUGGUUUCCUCAGAAGCACGCACAUUACUUUUUAUAACUCAUUGGCCAAAACUUAGUCACACAGUCACAAUAGUUACAAGGAAAGAUAGGGAAUACAGAACUUUUAGCUAGGCACUAGAGUGACAUCAGUGGGAAUGGCAAAAUAAAGAUCUCUAAAAAUCCAUUUCUCCAUAAAAGUAAUGAGAACACAGGCAAAAAUUGUCAAAAUGUUUUCCAGAAUGCUGGAUAUAAAUCAAAGACUUGGAAUAAUCCAAGAAGCAUUUAUCCAGGAAAAGUUGCUGAAUCAAGGGCCAUGUGAAGGCUUUCUCUGAAAAAGCUCGUCUAAUCCCACGGCUCCAGUUACCAAAUCUGUGCUGAUUUUUCUAGAACUUAGUCUCCAGCCUAAGUCUUUCUCUGAAACUCCAGCGCCUUAUACCCAAUGGCCUCCUGAACAACUCCCCUUGGAUAUUCUGCAGACUUCGUAGUGGGUGUGGAGUGGUAUCUCAUUGUGGUUUUGAUUUUCCUGAUGGCCAGUGAUGGUAGACAUUGCGCCAUCAGCCGGGCUCCUGGAAGGGAAUCAAGUGGAGCAGAGAGAAUCUAAGACCAACGCAAGCCUGGCCAACCCACGUGCAGCACACAGACCAGUGAGAGAAAAAAAAGUAUCUGUCACCGUAAAUCACUGAUGGUUGGGGCUUGUUCGUUAUAGAACAUUUUUGCAGCAAAACCUGACCAAUAGAAUC
This is a long non-coding RNA of Panthera uncia (snow leopard), 1043 nucleotides long. RefSeq lists it as uncharacterized. The transcript has 4 exons. NCBI's taxonomy places the organism in Eukaryota, Metazoa, Chordata, Mammalia, Carnivora, Felidae. The record is from RefSeq and is a predicted model, not a curated record.